CAAGUCGAGCGGAAAGGCCUCUACAAUUUGCUGGAACGAGACAGGUCGUGACUACGAAGUAGUCACAUCACUCAACGAAGUGAUGAACGAUCUGAAUCAUACAAAUCAAGCAAAUCGUAGAGGUACUCGAGCGGCGGACGGCAGAGUAACGCGUAGGAACAUACCCCAAACUGAGGGAUAACUGCCCGAAAGGGUAGCUAAUACCGCAUGUGAUCUUCGGAUUAAAGCUUCGGCGGUUUGGGAAUGGCCUGCGUUGGAUUAGCUUGUUGGUGAGGUAAAAGCUCACCAAGGCGACGAUCCAUAACUGGUCUGAGAGGAUGAUCAGUCUGACUGGAACUGAGACACGGUCCAGACUCCUACGGGAGGCAGCAGUAGGGAAUUUUCCACAAUGGGCGAAAGCCUGAUGGAGCAACGCCGCGUGCAGGAUGAAGGCCUUCGGGUCGUAAACUGCUUUUAUGUGCGAAGAAUAUGACUGUAACACAUGAAUAAGGGACGGCUAACUACGUGCCAGCAGCCGCGGUCAUACGUAGGUCCCAAGCGUUAUCCGGAAUUACUGGGCGUAAAGAGUUGCGUAGGUGGCACUAUAAGUGGAGCGUGAAAGCGUGCGGCUCAACCGCAUUACUGCGUUCCAAACUGUAGAGCUUGAGUAUGAUAGGGGUAACUGGAAUUUCUAGUGUAGGAGUGAAAUCCGUAGAUAUUAGAAGGAACACCGAUAGCGUAGCAGGUUACUGGAUCAUUACUGACACUAAGGCACGAAAGCGUGGGGAGCAAACGGGGUUAGAUACCCCGGUAGUCCACGCCGUAAACUAUGGGAUGCUAGCUGUUGCACAUAUCGACCUGUGCAGUAGCGAAGUUAACGCGUUAAGCAUCCCGCCUGGGGAGUACGGUCGCAAGAUUAAAACUCAAAGGAAUUGACGGGGACCCGCACAAGCGGUGGAGCGUGUUGUUUAAUUCGAUGGUAAGCGAAGAGCUUACCCAGGCUUGACAUCCUGCUAAGGCUCUCGAAAGAGACUGUGCCUUCGGGAAAGCAGUGACAAGUGAUGCAUGGCCGUCGUCAGCUCGUGUCGUGAGAUGUAUGGUUAAGUCCAUUAACGAGCGCACCUUAUGUUUAGUUGAUUUUUUCUAACAGACUGCCCUUGUAACAGGGAGGAAAGGAGGGGGAUGAUGUCAGGUCAGUUAUUUUUCUUUA
This 1189-nucleotide ribosomal RNA is filed under the name uncultured bacterium. Its description in RNAcentral is "partial 16S ribosomal RNA". It matches the Rfam family "Bacterial small subunit ribosomal RNA", at positions 58 to 1204 of the family's 1533-position model. The record is from RNAcentral.